GACCAAAGAGGGGGACCUUCGGGCCUCUUGCCAUCAGAUGUGCCCAGAUGGGAUCAGCUAGUAGGUGGGCUAACGGCUCACCUAGGCGACGAUCCCUAGCUGGUCUGAGAGGAUGACCAGCCACACUGGAACUGAGACACGGUCCAGACUCUUACGGGAGGCAGCAGUGGGGAAUAUUGCACAAUGGGCGCAAGCCUGAUGCAGCCAUGCCGCGUGUAUGAAGAAGGCCUUCGGGUUGUAAAGUACUUUCAGCGGGGAGGAAGGGAGUAAAGUUAAUACCUUUGCUCAUUGACGUUACCCGCAGAAGAAGCACCGGCUAACUCCGUGCCAGCAGCCGCGGUAAUACGGAGGGUGCAAGCGUUAAUCGGAAUUACUGGGCGUAAAGCGCACGCAGGCGGUUUGUUAAGUCAGAUGUGAAAUCCCCGGGCUCAACCUGGGAACUGCAUCUGAUACUGGCAAGCUUGAGUCUCGUAGAGGGGGGUAGAAUUCCAAGUGUAGCGGUGAAAUGCGUAGAGAUCUGGAGGAAUACCGGUGGCGAAGG
RNAcentral lists this ribosomal RNA (541 nucleotides) under uncultured Pseudomonadota bacterium. Its description in RNAcentral is "bacterial SSU rRNA". It matches the Rfam family "Bacterial small subunit ribosomal RNA", at positions 199 to 721 of the family's 1533-position model. Lineage: Bacteria; Pseudomonadati; Pseudomonadota. The record is from RNAcentral.